GCAAUGCCGCGUGAGUGAAGAAGGCCUUCGGGUUGUAAAGCUCUUUUGUCAGGGAAGAAACGGUGGGAGCUAAUAUCUCCUGCUAAUGACGGUACCUGAAGAAUAAGCACCGGCUAACUACGUGCCAGCAGCCGCGGUAAUACGUAGGGUGCAAGCGUUAAUCGGAAUUACUGGGCGUAAAGCGUGCGCAGGCGGUUUUGUAAGACUGUCGUGAAAUCCCCGGGCUCAACCUGGGAAUGGCGAUGGUGACUGCAAGGCUAGAGUUUGGCAGAGGGGGGUAGAAUUCCACGUGUAGCAGUGAAAUGCGUAGAUAUGUGGAGGAACACCGAUGGCGAAGGCAGCCCCCUGGGUCAAAACUGACGCUCAUGCACGAAAGCGUGGGGAGCAAACAGGAUUAGAUACCCUGGUAGUCCACGCCCUAAACGAUGUCUACUAGUUGUCGGGUCUUAAUUGACUUGGUAACGCAGCUAACG
Molecule: ribosomal RNA, 473 nt
Filed under: Duganella sp.
Lineage: Bacteria; Pseudomonadati; Pseudomonadota; Betaproteobacteria; Burkholderiales; Oxalobacteraceae
Description: bacterial SSU rRNA
Rfam family: Bacterial small subunit ribosomal RNA
Source: RNAcentral